This 618-nucleotide ribosomal RNA is filed under the name Staphylococcus aureus. Its description in RNAcentral is "partial 23S ribosomal RNA". It matches the Rfam family "Bacterial large subunit ribosomal RNA", at positions 688 to 1309 of the family's 2925-position model. The record is from RNAcentral. Lineage: Bacteria; Bacillati; Bacillota; Bacilli; Caryophanales; Staphylococcaceae.
UAGGGCGUUUAGUAUUUGGUCGUAGACCCGAAACCAGGUGAUCUACCCUUGGUCAGGUUGAAGUUCAGGUAACACUGAAUGGAGGACCGAACCGACUUACGUUGAAAAGUGAGCGGAUGAACUGAGGGUAGCGGAGAAAUUCCAAUCGAACCUGGAGAUAGCUGGUUCUCUCCGAAAUAGCUUUAGGGCUAGCCUCAAGUGAUGAUUAUUGGAGGUAGAGCACUGUUUGGACGAGGGGCCCCUCUCGGGUUACCGAAUUCAGACAAACUCCGAAUGCCAAUUAAUUUAACUUGGGAGUCAGAACAUGGGUGAUAAGGUCCGUGUUCGAAAGGGAAACAGCCCAGACCACCAGCUAAGGUCCCAAAAUAUAUGUUAAGUGGAAAAGGAUGUGGCGUUGCCCAGACAACUAGGAUGUUGGCUUAGAAGCAGCCAUCAUUUAAAGAGUGCGUAAUAGCUCACUAGUCGAGUGACACUGCGCCGAAAAUGUACCGGGGCUAAACAUAUUACCGAAGCUGUGGAUUGUCCUUUGGACAAUGGUAGGAGAGCGUUCUAAGGGCGUUGAAGCAUGAUCGUAAGGACAUGUGGAGCGCUUAGAAGUGAGAAUGCCGGUGUGAGUAG